UGCAAGUCGAGCGGAUGAAGGGAGCUUGCUCCCUGAUUCAGCGGCGGACGGGUGAGUAAUGCCUAGGAAUCUGCCUGGUAGUGGGGGACAACGUCUCGAAAGGGACGCUAAUACCGCAUACGUCCUACGGGAGAAAGCAGGGGACCUUCGGGCCUUGCGCUAUCAGAUGAGCCUAGGUCGGAUUAGCUAGUUGGUGAGGUAAUGGCUCACCAAGGCGACGAUCCGUAACUGGUCUGAGAGGAUGAUCAGUCACACUGGAACUGAGACACGGUCCAGACUCCUACGGGAGGCAGCAGUGGGGAAUAUUGGACAAUGGGCGAAAGCCUGAUCCAGCCAUGCCGCGUGUGUGAAGAAGGUCUUCGGAUUGUAAAGCACUUUAAGUUGGGAGGAAGGGCAUUAACCUAAUACGUUGGUGUUUUGACGUUACCGACAGAAUAAGCACCGGCUAACUCUGUGCCAGCAGCCGCGGUAAUACAGAGGGUGCAAGCGUUAAUCGGAAUUACUGGGCGUAAAGCGCGCGUAGGUGGUUU
RNAcentral lists this ribosomal RNA (530 nucleotides) under Pseudomonas sp. M47copa3. RNAcentral describes it as "bacterial SSU rRNA". It matches the Rfam family "Bacterial small subunit ribosomal RNA", at positions 56 to 581 of the family's 1533-position model. The record is from RNAcentral. Lineage: Bacteria; Pseudomonadati; Pseudomonadota; Gammaproteobacteria; Pseudomonadales; Pseudomonadaceae.